Molecule: ribosomal RNA, 1189 nt
Filed under: metagenome
Description: SSU rRNA
Rfam family: Eukaryotic small subunit ribosomal RNA
Source: RNAcentral
AUUCCAGCUCCAAUAGCGUAUAUUAAAGUUGUUGCAGUUAAAAAGCUCGUAGUUGGAUCUGGGGUUCGGGUCGGCGGUUUGCCGCUUCGGCGGCUACUGCCGUGCUCGACUCUUACUAGCCGGUGCGUCUUGCGGUGCUCUUCAUCGAGUGCCGUAGGAGCCUGGCAUGUUUACUUUGAAAAAAUUAGAGUGCUCAAAGCAGGCGAUUCCGCCUGAAUAGUGUUGCAUGGAAUAAUGGAAUAGGACCUCGGUUCUAUUUUGUUGGUUUUCGGAACUUGAGGUAAUGAUUAAGAGGGACGGUCGGGGGCAUUCGUAUUUCGGUGUUAGAGGUGAAAUUCUUGGAUCGCUGAAAGACGGACAAAUGCGAAAGCAUCUGCCAAGAACGUCUCCAUUAAUCAAGAACGAAAGUCAGAGGUUCGAAGACGAUCAGACACCGUCCUAGUUCUGACCAUAAACGAUGCCAACUAGCGAUCCGCAGUGGUUGCUAUAAACGGACUCUGCGAGCAGCUUCCGGGAAACCAAAGUGUUUGGGUUCCGGGGGAAGUAUGGUUGCAAAGCUGAAACUUAAAGGAAUUGACGGAAGGGCACCACCAGGAGUGGAGCCUGCGGCUUAAUUUGACCCAACACGGGGAAACUCACCCGGUCCGGACACUGUAAGGAUUGACAGAUCGAGAGCUCUUUCUUGAUUCGGUGGAUGGUGGUGCAUGGCCGUUCUUAGUUGGUGGAGUGAUUUGUCUGGUUAAUUCCGAUAACGAACGAGACUCUAGCCUGCUAACUAGUUGCGCCGUGUUCAUACGCGGCUGUAGACUUCUUAGAGGGACAGGUGGCGUUUAGCCACACGAAAUUGAGCAAUAACAGGUCUGUGAUGCCCUUAGAUGUCCGGGGCCGCACGCGCGCUACACUGAAGGAGUCAGCGUCUGCUAUCCGGGCUCGGAAGAGUUCGGUAACCCGUUGAAACUCCUUCGUGCUUGGGAUUGUGGCUUGUAAUUAUCGCGCAUGAACGAGGAAUUCCCAGUAAGUGCAAGUCAUCAGCUUGCGCUGACUACGUCCCUGCCCUUUGUACACACCGCCCGUCGCUACUACCGAUUGAAUGGUUUAGCAAGGUACUCGGAUUGGUCUCGAUCUUGUACGAAAGUGCGGGAUCUGUGGCCGAGAAGAAGGCCAAACUUGAUCAUUUAGAGGAAGUAAA